This is a non-coding RNA of Chiloscyllium plagiosum (whitespotted bambooshark), 321 nucleotides long. Lineage: Eukaryota; Metazoa; Chordata; Chondrichthyes; Orectolobiformes; Hemiscylliidae. The record is from RefSeq and is a predicted model, not a curated record.
UAGUGACUGGAUAUUACACUUGAAGAAGUGCUGUCUUUCAGAAGGGACAUUAAAUUGAAGGUCCACUUUGAUGAAAGAACUAAUCAGAAUUGACUUAAGGCAACAGACAUUCUUCCAAAUAACUGAGAAAACUCCACCCAACAGCAUAUCUGGAUAUUGGUGGUCAAAUCUUGAUGAAAUGUGGUCAGAUGGACCCUUGGACUGAGGAGUGGCAGCUGGAGCUGAACUUAGAUCAAUCGCGCUGCUGCCAGAGUCCCGCUCCAGGCUUCCCAGCCCAUGCCAAGCGACUGCCCGGUUCCCACUCUGGCCAGAAGUAGAAGU